GCAUGCGAGAGCGAGAAAUGAUGAGCGAGCGAGGUCACCCCAGAUCAGCUGCACUCCACGCCUAGUCUCCGGAUCAAAUCUCGUCCCUAACCUCUUUUUUAACUUGAUCGAAUGACCUCGAGUGAGACCUCGGCUCCACGCCUCCCAGUGACCGCGAGUGAGAUUAUUUCGCGAGCAACAGUUUUCCACUUCCGACGAGCGACAGAUACAACUACCAGAAAAUAGGAGGAAACCUCGCUAUUGGUUUUUGACCUACAAGCCGAAGACUAGCACGCUACAUCUAUUUCAUAAAUCUUAUCUACUUUUUAGUUAAUUGGUUUGUAAUUUCUUAAUUUUCUAUUUAAUCAAAAUCGCCUUAAAAAAAAAAUUUAAUUAAUGUAGAUUAUUCGAGGGUACGUUCUUGAUUUGAAUAAAUUAAACAAAUCUUAGAUUUAGAUAAAUAUGAAAAUAUAUUGAAAGUUAUUGAAGCAAAGAAAUAAAAUUGAAGACGUUAUUGAAAUUUGAAAACCCAAAAUUUAAGCUUGACAAUUAGAAAUUGGAAUUAUUGAUAAAAAUGUGAAAUUUCUCAGAAAUGAAGGAAUGAAACAGAAACAAUCUAAGGACAAAAAGAAAUAUCAACCUAAACAAACUAGACAACAAAACAAAGUAAACUUAAUCUGAAAUUAAACAAUCGCAACUAAUCACCUAAUAAGCAAUCAAGAGAAAGAAGAGAGAAAUAAAAAUAAAAAAUAACUUGCUGACCUGUAAUAUAUAUAUAGCACUCAACCUGUAAUCAAAAUUCAAGCAGAGAAGAUGAUAAAAAAAAUAAUAAAUAAAUUCUAACCUGUAAUUGCUAACCUGCAGAACACAAUUACAAAGAACCUGUGGUUUUCAAAGAACAACUACAAAGCAAUUGCAACCACGCAAUUCAAUUCCAUUCAACAGAAGAAUCAAUUAAAUUGCGCACAGAAAUAACUCUCAUUUAAAUUCAGUAAAAGAGAGAGAGAGAAAUCCCGUAUCCAGAAAGUAAAAUCGACUAUCAACUGUAAUCAAACUAAAUCAGACACAUUACAUGACAGACGUAAUAACUAAACUCUCUAAAAAAUAAAUCGCAAAAAUCGGGAAUCAGAACAAAAGAUGAGAAGGAAAAAAAAAUCACGACGCAAUCAACCGUAGUCGGAAAGAAUCGGAAAGAAAAAAAUCGGAAAGAAAAAAAAAAGAACUAUCUGUCAGUAAUUAACUGUAAUCAAACAGAAGAUGAGAUCGACAAAAAAAAUCCAAAACGGAAUCCGAGUAUGAACUAAAUGGAUAGUGGGAAAAAAAACUAAAUCGAGAGUAGAAAUAACGAUCGAAAUAGUAUUAGAUGAACUAAAUCGAAAUAACCAUCAGAAAAGAAAUAACGCGCGAUCAGAAAAAAGAAACAAGAAACUCGAUCAGAAAUAACGGAUCAAGCACGAUCGAAAAAAAAAUUGACCAGAAGCCCGACGCACUCACGCACGAUCAGACAAAAAAGAAAAAUCAAAACUCGAUCAGAUCGGAAAUAAAAUAAAAAAACAGAUUAAAAUUGCAAUCAAGAUCUAAAAUUACCUAAAUCAAGAUCUGAAAAAUUAAAAUCUACAAACCUGAGAAGAGUCGACGCGGAAGACAAGCGCAGAUCCGACACGACCGAACGCGGGAAACAGAGGCACUCGCGGGAGGAAUCGUAGUAACUCAGAUGAAUCUGCAACUUCUAGUAGAUAAAAUCGCAGAAGAAGACGAUCUCGCGGAGGAAGGCGAUCAAUAAAGCUAGAAAACUGAUACCAUCUCAGAAAUGCUUAACAUUGAUUAUAAUAGAAUUGGAAAGAUUAGUUAUUACAAUAUAGCAAAUAUCCUUUUAUAGGAUUUAGAGUUUAUCCAACUAACAUAUUACAUAUGUUUACCAUACUACCAUAAAAUUUACAAAUAAAUCCAUCAUUUGAUCAAUUGGGCAUGGUACCAAUAGUAUCUUUACAUCUUUGAUUGCAGGUAUGGGAAAAAACAGUGAGUUUGUACGGAGAAAAUAGAUGAAGUUUCUUUUUGUUUCUGUGACUGAUUUAAUGAUGCAGUUAUUGAAUCAGACCCGUGAUUUUUUUAAUGUCUUUUCUUUUAGCUGUUUAUAAUUAGUUCUAUUCAAUUUAGAAGGAGCAACAGCUUUCAGCAGAAGCAAUGCUUUUUUUACUAUGUACUACAAUGGGUUAAACUAGUUGAAAUUUGGCCAAAAAAUAAUUUAAAUGUCAGGAUUUAGGGUUCUUACUUUGAAAUUUGAAACUGUAUUUUUCUUUUCUUUUCUUCCUUUUAAUUAAUUCCCUGAUUAAGUGAAAACGAUAAUAGAUCGGAGGUGUGUGCGCUAGAGCAGUUAGGGUUCGGAGUUGAAGAGUCGCCGGACGAGAGCUUGGAACGUUUGGAACACUAGUAGGGUUUAGUGUUUUUGAUAUUUGAAAAAGUUGAGUAAAAGAUUAUUACAAAGACUAUUUAUAUCAUGACCUAAGCUAAUGGGCCAACAUUGGUUGGGCCUGAUUAUAUCUAAUAAUAUUAAUCUAAAAGAUGAUAAUCUAAACACUUAAUCUUAAUACCCCCCCUCAAGCUGGAGAGUGUAUGUCAUAGAGUCCCAGCUUGGGCAGCAGAUUUCUUAGAGCUUCAAGACUUGCCGGCUUUGUUAAUAUAUCUGCAAUUUGAGAUGUUGAUGAAACAUGUUGUAAUUUGAAUAGCCCAGCUUGUAGAUGAUCACGAAUUAGAUGACAGUCAAUCUCUAUAUGCUUUGUGCGUUCAUGAAAAACUGGGUUUGUUGCAAUGUGAAUUGCUGCCAUAUUAUCACAAUGUAGUGUUGUCUGUCUUGAUGGUUUCACCUGCAGAUCAUUCAAAAAAUAAUGCAACCACAUAAUUUCACAGACAGUUGAUGCCAUAGCCCUGUAUUCACUCUCAGCAGAUGAUCUACUGAUAGUUGUUUGUUUUUUUGAUUUUCAGGCUAUAGCAGAUCCACCUAAUAAGAUUGUGUAGCCUGUUAUUGACCUUCUUGUGUUGGGGCAGUCUGCCCAAUCUGCAUCACAGUAGGCCUCUAGUUGUAGAGGUGCAUCUCUCCUGUAUAAGAUACCUUUCCCUGGUGCACCUUUGAUAUAUUUCAGUAUUUUGAUUGCUGAGUUAAAAUGUGAUUGUUUAGGUGUUGCCAAGAAUUGGCUGUGAUGACUAACUGAAAAAGCUAUAUCAGGCCUUGUGAUUGUCAAAUAUAACAAUUUCCCAAUUAGCUUCCUGUAAAUUGAAGGAUCCUUUAAUGGNNNNNNNNNNNNNNNNNNNNNNNNNNNNNNNNNNNNNNNNNNNNNNNNNNNNNNNNNNNNNNNNNNNNNNNNNNNNNNNNNNNNNNNNNNNNNNNNNNNNUGGGACAUUGGAAUUUUAGAUGGAGAAGAUCCCAAUUGUCCAAAAUCAUGUAGUAUAUCAAGGGCAUAUUUCCUUUGUGACAGGAAUAUACCUUGGUUUGAUUGGGAUACCUCAAUUCCUAGAAAGUAUUUGAGUUUACCCAAAUCCUUUAUAUGGAAUUGUAGAUGUAGGUAUUCCUUUAGUUUUUGGAUUUCAGCUUCAUUAUCACCUGAUAUAAUUAGAUCAUCCACAUAAAUAAGUAGACAAGUGUAUGAAUUUGUAGAUGACUUAGAGAAUAAUGUGUAGUCAGAGUGAGAUUGGGUGUACCCAAACUUAGUCAGUGCAGAGGUGAGUUUUUCAUACCAAUUCCUGUUUGCCUGUUUCAGGCCAUAUAAAGACUUCUUUAGUUUGCAUACCCUGGUGUCACCUGGGGGUAGCAUUCCUGGAGGUGGAGACAUAAAUAUUUCUUCAGAUAAUUCACCAUGUAAGAAGGCAUUACUUACAUCCAUCUGAUAUGUAGACCAGUUUUUGGUUGAGGCUACUGCCAGCAGUGUCCUAACAGAGAUGAUCUUUGCCACUGGUGAAAAGGUUUCCUUGUAAUCAAAGCCUUCUAUUUGAGUGUGCCCUUUUGCUACAAGCCUGGCUUUUAACCUUUCAAUUUGGCCAUCAGACUUGUGUUUGACUUUAUAUACCCACCUAGAUCCUACUAUUUUCCUUUCUUUUGGCCUUGGUACCAUUUCCCAAGUGUCAUUUAAUUCAAGAGCUGCAAGUUCAUCAUUCAUGGCUUUUACCCAUUCCUGACUUUGACUUGCUUGAUUGAAGGAUGUUGGUUCAGUUGUGAUAGAAAUUUUGUCUAAAUAAUCAGUGUGAGAGGUAGACAGUCUUUUGUAUGUUAAGUAAUCAUGCAUUGGAAAAGAUGUGCCUGUAGAUUUUCCUGUGCUUGUGGCAAAUGAACAGAAAUAAUCAUUUAAUUUAGUUGGUGGUUUUCUCUGUCUACUUGGAUAUCUUUGGUUCUGUGUUUGAUUUUUUUCUGAAUUUUGGAGUAUUGUUGGNNNNNNNNNNNNNNNNNNNNNNNNNNNNNNNNNNNNNNNNNNNNNNNNNNNNNNNNNNNNNNNNNNNNNNNNNNNNNNNNNNNNNNNNNNNNNNNNNNNNUGAAUUUGUGUCAGACUCAUCUGAGAUUGAGUCGAUUUGGUCUGUCUCAGAGAGAUCAGUGUCAUUCAAUUGACCUUUGCUUUGGUUUUUGUUUGUUAUUUGAUCAUUUGAUUUGUUUUCAGAUGAAUCAAUUUUCUUAUCUAAGGGAAACCUAUCUUCAUAAAAGAUCACAUCUCUACUUAUUGAGAUGUGAUGGGUGUCUAACUCAUAUAUGAUAGAACCCUUUUGGGUUGAGGAUUUCCCUAAGUAUAUGCACUUUCUUGCUCUGGGGGAGAACUUGUCUUCUUUUACAAGACAAGUUGCAUAACAUAGGCAACCAAAGGUCCUCAGACUUUCAUAGUCAGGUUGCUUGGAAUGCAUGAGCUCAUAAGGAGAUUUAUCUUCAGUCACCCUGGAUGGUAACAUAUUGAUAAUGUGGGUGGCCUGAAUUAUUGAGUAUCCCCAUAACUCAAUUGGUAUUGAGGAUUGAAGCUUUAAGGAUCUAGCUACAUUCAAGAGGUGUUGGUGUUUCCUCUCAACCACACCAUUCUGUUGUGGUGUGUGUGGGCAACUAGAAUAAUGGAUGAUUCCAUUGGCUUUGAGGAAUUCAUCCAUUGAUGAGGAGAAGAAUUCUCCACCAUUAUCAGUCCUUAUAGCCUUAAUAGACUUACCAAAUUGAUUUUUGAUAAGGGCAUGCAAGUUUCUGAAAAUACUGAAACACUCAGACUUCACAGUAAUUAAGUAUGUCCAGGUGUACCUGGUAUAAUCAUCAACCACAGUUAAAAAGUAUUUCUUCCCAUGGAUUGUUGGAGUGUGAAAGUUCCCCCACACAUCCAUGUGAAGUAACUCAAAUGCAUGUUUAGUUCUAGAAGCAUGUAAUGGAAAUGAUUUCCUAGAUUGUUUAGAUAGAUGACAAAUAUCACAAUGUUCAACAGAAGUAAAGUUCUUAAAAUCUAAAGUAUUGUUCAAAAUGUUUUUAAGUUUGUCACUAGAGGUGUGACCCAAUCGUCUAUGCCAUGUUGUUGUAGUGAUGGCACCUGCAAAACAAUCUCUACCACUGGUUUGUGGUAGAAGAUACAGCCCCUUCUUCAUUUUACUCAGACCAACUUCCUUCAUCUGAACCUUGUCAAAUAUAAGGGCACAAGAUUUAGAGAAUUGAACUUCAUAAGUAUCAUGUUGUGUUAAUUUGCUAAUUGAUAGCAAAUUAACUUGGAAGGAUGGGGUAUAGUACACAUCCUUUAGUGUGAUAUCAGAUGAAACUUUAAUAUCACCUUUUUGAGAUACUAUCUGACUGUCCCCAUUGGGCAGUGAGAUUUUAAAUGAAUCACAUUUCGUGAGUUUUAGGAACAAGGAUUCAUUGCCACUCAGGUGUUCUGAUGCACCUGAGUCAACAAUCCAGUAUGUGUUAAUGGAAUUUGAAAGAACAUUAUUAGCAUUACCUGAAUCUCUGCGCUUGGGCAGGGGCCUUGGAUUGUACUUCUCUGAAUAUA
Molecule: long non-coding RNA, 5969 nt
Filed under: Zostera marina
Lineage: Eukaryota; Viridiplantae; Streptophyta; Magnoliopsida; Alismatales; Zosteraceae
Description: long non-coding RNA (ZMAR_LNC002166)
Source: RNAcentral